RNAcentral lists this ribosomal RNA (353 nucleotides) under uncultured bacterium. RNAcentral describes it as "bacterial SSU rRNA". It matches the Rfam family "Bacterial small subunit ribosomal RNA", at positions 355 to 724 of the family's 1533-position model. The record is from RNAcentral.
UGAGGAAUAUUGCACACUGGGCGCAAGCAUGAUGCAGCAACGCCGCGUGCGGGACGAAGGCCUUCGGGUCGUAAACCGCUUUUCUGGGGGAAGAGCAAGGACGGUACCUCAGGAAUAAGUCUCGGCUAACUACGUGCCAGCAGCCGCGGUAAAACGUAGGAGGCGAGCGUUAUCUGGAUUUACUGGGCGUAAAGCGCACGCAGGCGGCUCUGUUAGUCGGACGUGAAAGCUAUCGGCUUAACCGGGAGAGGCCGUUCGAUACUGCGGGGGUUGGGGUAGGGAGAGGAGUGCGGGAUUCCCGGUGUAGGGGUGGAAUGCGUAGAGAUCGGGAGGAACAGCUGUGGCGAAAGCGG